AGAGAACUAACAACGAUUCAAAACAAUAAUUAUUCUUGUUGUUUUCAAUAAGCUUUUUCAGUUUGUUGUAAAUCAACAAAUUGUGCUGAAACAGCAAUGACUUUUAUCAAAACAAAUAAAAAUAUUGUUGGAUUUGUUGGCAGCAUUUUCAAUUUGAUUUUUGUUGAAACAACAAAAUAAAAUCUUUAUUUCAAAUCAUAGAGUUAUUUGUUUCAGUUACUAUUAUUGUUAUUUGAAACGAAAAUUUAACUCAGUGUGUAAGGCAGUGUGUGGCCCGCCAUUUUAUUUCGCGCUGUAAACGGAGUGUAAGAAAAAAUGGCUGACGCGGAAGAGUUCAUCGAAGAACUCGAUGUGGAAAAAAAUAUCCGUGAAGGAAGUCGAGCUGAUAGAAUUGCUCAACAGUUUUAGAAUUACUGAAGCUAUUAUUGAAGCCCUUCUUGGUAAGUUUUAACCAUUCUUUUAUAGAAUUUCAAUUCUCAUCAGCCUUUUUUCGUGAUUGCAGUUAAUUCUUACAUGAUUGAAACGCUAAAAGUGAUUCAGCGGCAAGAAAUCGAGCUGCUGAUUCUACCCCCGUCGCUUGCGGAGUGGACCAAAUUCAUUCAUCCAUUGGAUAUUUGGAGAACAGCGCAGGGGCUACCAAAAGUCCAAAAAAUUCCAGCAAGUGGCAGCAGCUCUGCUUCGGUGCAAAAUACCUUCUGAACCAAGGGUCACGUGGGAUUCAUGCACGGCCACCUAUUUGCUGAAAAACUCGUCGGAGGCACAAGCCAUCAUACGAAAAUACAGCCAAACACCGUUUCUCUCAAGAUC
Molecule: long non-coding RNA, 807 nt
Organism: Aedes aegypti (yellow fever mosquito)
Lineage: Eukaryota; Metazoa; Arthropoda; Insecta; Diptera; Culicidae
Exons: 2
Source: RefSeq, a predicted model, not a curated record